GAUGAACGCUAGCGGCAGGCUUAACACAUGCAAGUCGAGGGGUAUAGUUCUUCGGGACUAGAGACCGGCGCACGGGUGCGUAACGCGUAUGCAAUCUACCUUUUGCAGAGGGAUAGCCCAGAGAAAUUUGGAUUAAUACCUCAUAGUAUAGCAACUUCGCAUGAAGUCACUAUUAAAGUCACAACGGCAAAAGAUGAGCAUGCGUCCCAUUAGCUAGUUGGUAAGGUAACGGCUUACCAAGGCUACGAUGGGUAGGGGUCCGUGAGAGGGAGAUCCCCACACUGGUACUGAGACACGGACCAGACUCCUACGGGAGGCAGCAGUGAGGAAUAUUGGACAAUGGGCGCAAGCCUGAUCCAGCCAUGCCGCGUGCAGGAUGACGGUCCUAUGGGUUG
Molecule: ribosomal RNA, 395 nt
Filed under: uncultured bacterium
Lineage: Bacteria
Description: bacterial SSU rRNA
Rfam family: Bacterial small subunit ribosomal RNA
Source: RNAcentral